UUAGGUGACAGGCUAGGUGACAGACUAGUCUCCCCCCAGGUGACAGGCUAAUCUUUUUUUUUUUUUUUUUUUUUUUUUUUUUUUUUUUUUUUUCAGUGUGACAGGUUAGUCUCCCCCAUAGGUGACAGGUUAGGUGACAGGUUAGGUGACAGGCUUAGUCUCCCCCAUAGGUUGACAGGUUAGUCUCCCCCACGGGUGACAGGCUAGUCUCCCCCACAGGUGACAGGUUAGGUGACAGGCUAGUCUCCCCCAUAGGUGACAGGCUAGUCUCCCCCACGGGUGACAGGUUAGUCUCCCCCAUAGGUGACAGGCUAGUCUCCCCCACAGGUGACAGGUUAGGUGACAGGCUAGUCUCCCCCAUAUGUGACAGGUUAGUCUCCCCCACGGGUGACAGGCUAGUCUCCCCCACGGGUGACAGGCUAGUCUCCCCCACAGGUGACAGGUUAGUCUCCCCCAUAGGUGACAGGCUAGUCUCCCCCACAGGUGACAGUUAGUCUCCCCCAUAGGUGACAGGCUAGUCUCCCCCACAGGUGACAGGUUAGGUGACAGGCUAGUCUCCCCCACAGGUGACAGGUUAGUUCUCCCCCCACGGGGACAGGCUAGUCUCCCCCACGGUGGACAGGCUAGU
This 628-nucleotide long non-coding RNA is filed under the name Felis catus (domestic cat). RNAcentral describes it as "lncRNA (ENSFCAG00000047601.1)". The record is from RNAcentral. Lineage: Eukaryota; Metazoa; Chordata; Mammalia; Carnivora; Felidae.